Cyprinodon tularosa is the source of this 1732-nucleotide long non-coding RNA. RefSeq lists it as uncharacterized. Lineage: Eukaryota; Metazoa; Chordata; Actinopteri; Cyprinodontiformes; Cyprinodontidae. The transcript has 4 exons. The record is from RefSeq and is a predicted model, not a curated record.
AAUCAUAUAAGUAAAUAUAAAAACACUGACUGAUUUAAAGGAGAACAGAACUUAACAGAGUCCAUAGGUGGAUCCGAGAGAAGCAUUCAAGAACAGACCUAAGCUGUUGAAGGUACCGUCCUACAAGAUUUGUUCUACAUGUUGCUGUUCUCCCUGAGUCCAUACUUCCUGUGUUCUUGUCAAGAACGUACUUGGUGAGAAAACAAGUUCUUGUGAAAUGGCCCGUGAGACAAAGAUUUCACCAUCUCUAAGUGUUACAGUGCUCAAGCAUGUCUGAAUGCAGAUGGAGAAAAAGCUAUGUUGAUAAAAAGCCAAAAAAGCCCCUCUGGUCAUCAUCACCUUUCCCAGUGACAAAACACCAGCUCACUAUGGACCACAGUGUACCAUCUCCCCUUUCGAGGUUGGAUGGAAACAACUUCACUACCACCUGCAUGUCAUUUGGUUUACUGAACAUCCGCUCUUUGAACAAGAAGAGUCAAAUUGUCUACAGGCUCCUAGAGGACAAACAGUUGGAUUUCUUAUGUCUUACUGAAACCUGGCAGCAAGAAAAUGAUUUUAUGCAGCUCAAAAAGGCUGUACCAUCUGGAUUUGUUUACACCUGUAAACCACGUUCUGGUGGAAGAGGGGGUGGUCUUGCAAUGAUCUACAGUAACAAAUGGAUUGUGUCUCCUCUCCAAGUCUCUGCCUACAACUCAUUUGAAACAGCAAUAUAUCAAAUCCAUGGACUUCCUCCCAUCAUUUUAGGUAUCCUCUAUCGACCACCAACACACAGUAAGGAUUUUAUAAGUGAUCUGUCUUCUCUUUUAGGGCAUCUGCGCCCUUUAUCCCAAAAUAUUAUCCUGCUGGGAGAUUUCAAUAUUCCCAUGGACAAAAUCAACAGCCCUCUGGUGAGAGAUUUAGCUUCUGUUUUAGACAGUUUUAAAAUGCAGCAGCAUGUUAAUUUUCCCACACACAAUAAAGGACAUAUCCUUGACCUUGUAUGCUGCUCCGCUCUAACUCCUUUCAGCUUUGCUGCAUCAGAUCUGAAGGACUCUGACCAUAAACUUAUUUUAUUUGAUGUUAUGAAACCAUGCAAGACCAAUGUCCUCUGAAAUGUAAGAAACUAUUAUCUUCUUCCUCUAGAUAACAUAACAGAUUCAAGGAUUCUAAAAAUGUUAUGAACUGUAAAAAAAGAAAAAAAGAAAGAAAAAGAAAACUUCAGCAAAAUCCCACUUUUUGUGAUCAAGUGUCCUCCUGUGUCCAUGUGCAUUAAGGUUAGCUACAGUCCUAUGGAUCAUGAAUUUCUGAAAAAUGUAUGGAACUGUAAUCACAGGAACAUCAAGGUACUUGGAGAUGGUUUUUAAGCCUUUACCUUUGUCCAUAAUUUUAGUCCAUGUUGGGUGCAGUAUUCACCAUGGCACCAAACAGUACAGUGACUACCUAUAGCCUAAAUAUACAGUAUAUAGGCCCACUAACUAAUUACAAGAUUAUAGACACCUCUAAAGCUAAUUAGUGGACAAACCUUAAAUUAAUAUGUCCCUUUUGUCACAUUAUUUUUCUUUUGUAUAGGUACCCUCAUUCUCAGACCCCUUUUAUAAGUUUAUUAAUAUAUCAUUCUGUUAAAGCAUGGUUGAAAAGCAAUAUCUGACUUUAAUUUGUUCUUAUAUGUAGAAUUUUUAUUUGUCACUAUGUUUUUCAGAUUCAAGUUAUUUUUUUGAGAAUUGUGUUUGUUUAUUUUUUAAUAAAUGAGGGG